Molecule: ribosomal RNA, 253 nt
Filed under: uncultured bacterium
Lineage: Bacteria
Description: partial 16S ribosomal RNA
Rfam family: Bacterial small subunit ribosomal RNA
Source: RNAcentral
UACGAAGGGGGCUAGCGUUGUUCGGAAUUACUGGGCGUAAAGCGCGCGCAGGCGGUCUUCCAAGUCAGUGGUGAAAGCCUGGAGCUCAACUCCAGAACUGCCAUUGAAACUGUUAGACUUGAGUACGAGAGAGGUGAGUGGAAUUCCCAGUGUAGAGGUGAAAUUCGUAGAUAUUGGGAAGAACACCAGUGGCGAAGGCGGCUCUCUGGGUCGUAACUGACGCUCAGGCGCGACAGCGUGGGGAUCAAACAGG